GAGGAUUAGCGAGCUGUUUCGCCUGGCUCGCACUUUGACCACGUUUCAGUUGCUCAUUUUGUGUUUUCUUCCAUCUCGUGACUGGCACCUCUCCAAAAGUCUCCAGGUGCUGAAAAAUUUGCAUAAGCAUAAGCAACAAGGAAAUGCCGAGAGAAAAUGACUCUUGAAGGAGAAAACCAUCACCUCGGGAGGAUCUCUGGAUUUCUUACACAAAAUGUCAACAUACGCCCUCUGCUCUUUGCUGGACAGACUGGACACACACGGGAAGGGCAGUCUGGGUUGAGGGAAAACAUCACCACCCGCGUUCUUCAUCUGCACAUUUGCUUUUGGGGGAUUUUUAAAUCCUCCUGGAGACUCCAAAGAAUCGUCCAUGAAAGACGUGUCAGUGUCCAUGGCAUCCCAGGGGGAAUCAUCUUUAUUGCUGCUGUUUUUAAACUCUGCAACCUUUUUGGUAGUAGACUUUGGUCCAGACUGAGCACCACUGGCAUUCUCUGCAGGACUUGUAUCAUUGAAAAAAACAGAAGUCACGCUCAUCAUUUUUCUCCCAAGAACUCAUGUACUGUGAAGUAUUGAGAAUAGAGACAAAAAUCUGUCGUUGUGUACAUUGUGGCGUACCUUUGUAGCGAGCUCCACAGCUCUCUAACACUGGGUGCAAGGGAAUAUUGAUCAUAAGCGUCUUUGGUGAAGAAGGGAGCAUCGGAUACAGGAGGGUCCUCCCUUAAAGCAAUGUGUAUUUUAUAUACCUUGGCAUUUUGUAUAUUUCUGUUAUGUUAAUGCAGAAUUACUUAUACUACAACUAUAACUUGAAUAAUUACUCACCUCACCGGCUCCAUAACUGUUACGGGUUGGACAGUACGGAGUAGGAGCAUUUGAGCUAGCUAGCCACUAGCCAGUUAGCAAACACGCUGGGUGGUUUUCUUCUUCGCAGGAAACAAUAGCAGGUUUUAUAGCUCUUUGUGUUGUGCUGCCCCCUUGAGGCUCCUAAUCGAAUGGGCCCGAUGGUCAGUUGAUAUGGCACCAGGACCAGUGUUACAAAUACAGUAGCGUAGUGGGCCUGAGUGUUCAUCCCCAAAAACAUGCUGGGGUUUUAUUCCUAAAAUGUAUAUCCAAUAUUAUUGCCAGUCUGUGUGAUAUUAUGUAGUUCAAAAAACAACACUGCAGUUCAAUAUAUAUAUAAAAAAAACACUGUAGUUAAUGAUUUCAAUAAAAUGUGUGUUAGUGUAAACAUUAAGGUUUGAUAAAAUGUUACCUAAAUAUUUUAAAAUGCGCAUGCAUUAUAUGUUUAAUAAAAAAACAACAACUUUCCACACAAUUGACUAUUCUACUAAAUGACUACAAUUUAUUUUGACUUUAUUUUUUCAAAACGUUUUUUUUUUUUUUAAAUAAUGAAACAAAUAGCUGAAUGUGACUCAAUUGUAAGAAAAGGUAAUGAUUAAGUCAUCAAACAGUUGAACCAACAAGACAAGAAAUCAGCCAAGAAAGAAAAGCCCAUUACAAGCGGUAAAUUUUAUUAUGGGAUAACAGCACAUAAAGCACAUCUAAAACCGAUGUGUCCAAUGCACUUUUAAUAAAGGUAAUAUUAAAGGUACAGUUUCUAAGUACAAUAUAACAACAUUCAUAUUAGAAUGAAAAGUAUUUAAAAGACAACAUUAAAUUUCUUAUUUUUCUUUACAGCCGUAUUUACAAAAUGAAUCAAAAUACUUAUUUUCAUAUUUAAGAAUCAUCAGACAAGAAGGAGCAAAACUACGUUUGUGAGUUGACUACCUGCUAAAGAGAGUUCAAAAGAGCUGGAUUCAAAAGGUACAUGAGCAUCUGGCCCCUAAUUUAAUUUAACAUCAGUAGCAAACAUGUGACUUGAAAAUUGGUGACAACCACACGCUGAUCUGAGCUUUCCCUCAAUUUGCGUUGCUCUUACUUGGAAAAAGAAAGACUCCACCUCUGCUUCAACUUUCUUAGAACAUGACCAACACGGACAACAACAUGAAAUGUACAGAAAAGUGGUAAAAAUAGAAGAGAAAAAAAAAGUGGACUGACAUAUUUUCUUUUUUUCCAGGUAACCUGUGUAAAAUGAGCAUUCAAUUGCCACUCAAACAAAAUGAGAGGAAUGAGUCCGUACAUUGAAAUCCUUUAACACUGCAUGAACAUGUUUCACAUGUUAAAAAAAACAACAACUUUGUGAGAACUGAACAAAACACAGUUCAGAAUACGGAUCUUAAAAGGACAACUAAAAUCACGUAUGCGCUUUUGCUACACCGAGAGGCACUCAGUGUGAUACACUGUAUUUUAUUGCCAGCAUAAUCAUAUUUGCUACAAUGACGAGGAAACGUCUUCCUUCCGUGUACGCUUUUUCCUUCCGAAUGGGCAACGGAACAAAAUCAAAGUGCCUGAUCCCAGCGCCACUUCCCUGCAUUGUGUAAGGGCCUACGCAGAUAACCAGCGGGUUACAGUAAAUACUUGACAAACUACAGGCUCAAACUGUUCUUGUUGCUGAAUUUAAAACUUACAAUCGGACAAAGAGAAACAAAACACUGCUGCAUCAGUUUGAACAUCAAUUUUUCCC
Molecule: long non-coding RNA, 2560 nt
Organism: Syngnathus acus (greater pipefish)
Lineage: Eukaryota; Metazoa; Chordata; Actinopteri; Syngnathiformes; Syngnathidae
Exons: 2
Source: RefSeq, a predicted model, not a curated record